GAGGGAAAGGCGAAAAGAACCCCGGCGAGGGGAGUGAAAAAGAACCUGAAACCGUGUACGUACAAGCAGUGGGAGCACCUUUAUGGUGUGACUGCGUACCUUUUGUAUAAUGGGUCAGCGACUUAUAUUCUGUAGCAAGGUUAACCGAAUAGGGGAGCCGCAGGGAAACCGAGUCUUAACUGGGCGAAUUAGUUGCAGGGUAUAGACCCGAAACCCGGUGAUCUAGCCAUGGGCAGGUUGAAGGUUGGGUAACACUAACUGGAGGACC
This 268-nucleotide ribosomal RNA is filed under the name Morganella morganii. RNAcentral describes it as "partial 23S ribosomal RNA". It matches the Rfam family "Bacterial large subunit ribosomal RNA", at positions 505 to 775 of the family's 2925-position model. The record is from RNAcentral. Lineage: Bacteria; Pseudomonadati; Pseudomonadota; Gammaproteobacteria; Enterobacterales; Morganellaceae.